This 460-nucleotide ribosomal RNA is filed under the name uncultured bacterium. Its description in RNAcentral is "partial 16S ribosomal RNA". It matches the Rfam family "Bacterial small subunit ribosomal RNA", at positions 338 to 795 of the family's 1533-position model. The record is from RNAcentral.
CCUACGGGAGGCAGCAGUGAGGAAUAUUGGUCACUGGGCGCGAGCCUGAACCAGCCAAGUCGCGUGAGGGAGGACGGCCCUACGGGUUGUAAACCUCUUUUGCCAGGGAGCAACGGGCGUCACGUGUGGCGCCACUGAGAGUACCCGGAGAAAAAGCAUCGGCUAACUCCGUGCCAGCAGCCGCGUUAAUACGGAGGAUGCGAGCGUUCUCCGGAUUUAUUGGGUUUAAAGGGUGCGUAGGCGGAUCGUUAAGUCAGUGGUCAAAUUGAGGGGCUCAACCCCUUCCCGCCAUUGAAACUGGCGUUCUUGAGUGGAAGAGAAGUAUGCGGAAUGCGUGGUGUAGCGGUGAAAUGCAUAGAGAUCACGCAGAACCCCGAUUGCGAAGGCAGCAUGCCGGCUUCCGACUGACGCUGAAGCACGAAAGCGUGGGGAUCGAACAGGAUUAGAUACCCGAGUAGUC